GAGAGGGAAACGCCCGGUCACAUUCCGAACCCGGAAGCUAAGACUCUCAGCGCCGAUGGUACUGCAGGGGGGACCCUGUGGGAGAGUAGGACACCGCCGGAC
RNAcentral lists this ribosomal RNA (102 nucleotides) under Cryobacterium lyxosi. The record is from RNAcentral. Lineage: Bacteria; Bacillati; Actinomycetota; Actinomycetes; Micrococcales; Microbacteriaceae.